UCGCCUGUUUUAUCAAAAACAUGGCCUUUUGAUUAUAAUUUAAGGUCUGGCCUGCCCUAUGAAUUUUAAAUGGCCGCAGUAUAUUGACUGUGCAAAGGUAGCAUAAUCAUUAGUUUUUUAAUUGAAAGCUGGAAUGAAGGGUUGAAUGAGAAAAUAGCUGUCUCUAUUUAAAUUUUUUAUAAAUUUAUUUUUAAGUUAAAAAGCUUAAAUUAAAUUAGAAGACGAGAAGACCCUAUAGAGUUUUAUUUAUUUAUUAAAUAAAUAUUUUAGAAUUAAAUUUUUUAUUUAUUAAAUAAAUUUAAUUGGGGUGAUUUAAAAAUUUAAUUAACUUUUUAUAUAAUCAUACAUUAAUUUUUGAAUUUAUGAUCCUUAAAUAAAGAUUAAAAGAUAAAAUUACCUUAGGGAUAACAGCGUAAUUUUCUUAAAGAGUUCUAAUCGAAAGGAAAGAUUGCGACCUCGAUGUUGGAUUAAAAUAAAAUUUUGGUGUAGGAGCUAAAAUAUUUAGGUCUGUUCGACCUUUAAAAUUUUACUUGAUCUGAGUUCAAACCGGAGA
This 553-nucleotide ribosomal RNA is filed under the name Aegorhinus vitulus. RNAcentral describes it as "partial 16S ribosomal RNA". It matches the Rfam family "Bacterial large subunit ribosomal RNA", at positions 1796 to 2622 of the family's 2925-position model. Lineage: Eukaryota; Metazoa; Arthropoda; Insecta; Coleoptera; Curculionidae. The record is from RNAcentral.